AGAAACCCAUCUUCUUCAGCUCCUACUCUGCCCAUGAUGUCAGAUUCUCUUCUUUCUUAACCUCUCUUUUGAAUUCAUAUGUGGGCUUAAGAUUGUUGGUUUCAUUUCAUGUCUACUUUAUUCCUUUUGUAAUUUGACUUUUCGCUACCUGUCAAUAGCUUAUGGUGAAUUUGGCUUGUGGUAUCGCUAAAGCAUCAUAAUCUCUUCUUCAUUACUGCUAUGUUUCUACUUGUUGGAACAAAAUUUCAUUUAUUGGUGUGCCUUACUUUUCCCAGUGA
This is a long non-coding RNA of Arabidopsis thaliana (thale cress), 278 nucleotides long. RefSeq annotates it as other RNA. NCBI's taxonomy places the organism in Eukaryota, Viridiplantae, Streptophyta, Magnoliopsida, Brassicales, Brassicaceae. The record is from RefSeq. The transcript has a single exon.